UUUUGACUGUGCAAAGGUAGCAUAAUCAUUAGUUUUUUAAUUGAAAGCUGGAAUGAAAGGUUUGAUGAGAAAAUAACUGUCUCUGUGUAAAUGUUUUAGAAUUUCAAUUUUAAGUGAAAAAGCUUAAAUUUUUUAUAAAGACGAGAAGACCCUAUAGAGUUUGAUAUUUAAUUAAUUAUGAAGGUUUAGGAUUUUACUUUUUUGUUAUUAUUUAAAUAUUUUGUUGGGGUGAUGGAAAAAUUGAGAUAACUUUUUUUUGUUUGUUACAUUGAUUUAUGAUUAUUUGAUCCUUAUUUUUGGAUUACAAGAUUAAAUUACCUUAGGGAUAACAGCGUAAUUUUUUUUGGAGAGUUCUUAUCGAUAAAAAAGUUUGCGACCUCGAUGUUGGAUUAAAGUUAAAUUUU
RNAcentral lists this ribosomal RNA (404 nucleotides) under Pimelia rotundipennis. RNAcentral's name for it is "partial large subunit ribosomal RNA". The record is from RNAcentral. Lineage: Eukaryota; Metazoa; Arthropoda; Insecta; Coleoptera; Tenebrionidae.